UGGGGAAUCUUGCGCAAUGGGCGAAAGCCUGACGCAGCAACGCCGCGUGCGGGAUGAAGGCCUUCGGGUUGUAAACCGCUUUCAGGAGGGACGAAAUUGACGGUACCUCCAGAAGAAGCCCCGGCCAACUACGUGCCAGCAGCCGCGGUAACACGUAGGGGGCAAGCGUUGUCCGGAUUUAUUGGGCGUAAAGAGCUCGUAGGCGGCUUAGUAAGUCGGGUGUGAAACCUCCAGGCUCAACCUGGGGACGCCACCCGAUACUGCUGUGGCUAGAGGCCGGUAGGGGAGCGUGGAAGUCCAGGUGUAGCGGUGAAAUGCGCAGAUAUCAGGAGGAACACCAGCGGCGAAGGCGGCGCUCUGGGCCGGUACUGACGCUGAGGAGCGAAAGCGUGGGGAGCAAACAGG
RNAcentral lists this ribosomal RNA (405 nucleotides) under Actinomycetes bacterium. Its description in RNAcentral is "Actinobacteria bacterium partial 16S ribosomal RNA". It matches the Rfam family "Bacterial small subunit ribosomal RNA", at positions 355 to 776 of the family's 1533-position model. Lineage: Bacteria; Bacillati; Actinomycetota; Actinomycetes. The record is from RNAcentral.